RNAcentral lists this ribosomal RNA (402 nucleotides) under uncultured prokaryote. Its description in RNAcentral is "bacterial SSU rRNA". It matches the Rfam family "Bacterial small subunit ribosomal RNA", at positions 355 to 774 of the family's 1533-position model. The record is from RNAcentral.
UGGGGAAUAUUGGACAAUGGGCGAAAGCCUGAUCCAGCAAUGCCGCGUGAGUGAAGAAGGCCUUAGGGUUGUAAAGCUCUUUCGCCUGCGACGAUGAUGACGGUAGCAGGAGAAGAAGCCCCGGCUAAUUCCGUGCCAGCAGCCGCGGUAAUACGGAAGGGGCUAGCGUUGUUCGGAAUCACUGGGCGUAAAGCGCGCGUAGGCGGCUUGGCAAGUGAGGCGUGAAAGUCCUGGGCUCAACCCGGGGACUGCGCUUCAGACUGCUUGGCUUGAGUCCGGAAGAGGGUGGUGGAAUUCCGAGUGUAGAGGUGAAAUUCGUAGAUAUUCGGAGGAACACCGGCGGCGAAGGCGGCCACCUGGUCCGGAACUGACGCUCAAGUGCGAAAGCGUGGGGAGCAAACA